CACUAAUCACCCCUCUGCCUUUCAGCAGUGAAAUGUUAUCACCCUUCAGCAAGGCAUCAAACCAGAACUGCAGAGGGAUUGCUAACACUGACCUGCCCUUCUCAUCAACAUGAAAAAAAAGAGAAAGCCUCUUCGGGACUGUGUUGCACUGCUGGGAAAGGAUGGAGGGCAGACGUUUGCAGACAGCAAAGGCCAGACAAAACAUCUUCAAGGAUGAAUGUGAGACUUUGAUGUGUCUAUUGGCGGCUGCUAUUGUCUAUUCCUACUCUGAGAGGCGGGUUGGGCUGAAGAUCUCCAGAGAUCACUUCCAAACAGCACAUCCAUACGAAGGAGAAGAAACAGGAAAGAGAAACUUGUUCCUGGUGCCAUAAGGAUGAAAAAUUGGGAGCAAGGGAGAGCAAGAAAAAAAGAGAUUGAUAUUUUGCUUCCAAAUCAACACCUGGAGGGGAGCAAGGCACCCUGGAAACGGUGGGACACAUGCUAUGGGAAGAAGAAAAUAAAGAGGAGGGGAAGAUGUGGAUCCAGGAUUCAUCACAUCAGUUGUAAACCUGGUAUAGAGGCUUGUAGGAAUAUUACACAGAGGAAUUUGGCCUCUGAUAUAAACCUAGCAGAGGACAACCUUGCGAAUGUGAUCCAAAUACUUCUUCCUCUUCUUGAAACCUAGGCACUGAGGCCUACGUGGCUGACAUGGAGGGCCAAGCUGGAGGGGAAGCAGAUGACCUAGGCAUUAAUCCCACUAGAAAACCAAACGACAUGUGAGAGGAAUUUCUUGUCUGAGAAAAUCUUCAGAAAUCUGGCUGAACACUCUUUUCUCUCACUAUUCACCUGGCUUUGAGGGAUAACAAGGACUUAGCCAGGAGUCAGCCACAGCUACAACAAAACUGAGUUAGUCAUCUGCAUGUUACCAACCACGUGCUCAGAAAUGGCCGUCCUACAAAAACAAGUUCUUCGAGACCUGCACCACUCCUUCCUUUAGUUUGGUUUCAAACUAAAACAGGGGAGAUUUAGACUGGAAAUAAGAAGAAGAUUUUUUGUUUUUUGUUUUUUGUUUGUUUGUUUGUUUGUUUGUUUAUGAUAAGGGUGGUAAGGCACUGACACAGGUUGCCCAGAGAGGUGGUAGAUGCCCCAUCCCUAGAGAUGCUCAAGGUCAGGCUGGACGGGGCUCUGAGAACCUGAUGAAGCUGUGGGUACCCCUGUUCAUUGAUGGGGGUUGGACUAGGUGACCUUUAGGGGUCUCUUCCUCAAAUGAUUUUAUGAUUCUAUGACUUUGAUAUGGUCACCUGUGGAGGUCAAGUGUUCUGCAGUAGUGAGAUCCACUGAGCAGUGAGUCAGAAGUGGUUGGGUCUUUUAUUGAAUGCAGCUGAGUAAGUUGCUUAUGUACUGACUACAACUUGGUACAUUUUCUCCAUCAAGUUUAAAAAAUAAGGAUGAUUGCAAAUGUUCCCUUCCAACUAUUCUGUGAUAGAAUGUUGUGCGUUGGUUUAGCUAUAUAAAUCCUUGCAUUUUGCAGAAUGGAUAAUAUCCUGUGAAUUUAAAGUCAAGCAACAAAAAAUGUUUAAUCUUGGAAUGAAAAAAAAAGUUCAAUCUUCAUUUUCAAUUUAAAAAAUAGAAGUGUAUUUUGGUGUCACAUGGCUAAAAAUAUAUUUUUUCAAACACAUGCAUAUUUUUAAGCAACAUCAAAACUCAUUGCUGAGAUUUCCUGAUCUCUAAAUUCCCAUUUAGGGCUCUGGACACCUUUUUUCCCAAGCUUUGUAGUAACUGUUUGAUGUAGCCUUCACAAGCUGCC
RNAcentral lists this long non-coding RNA (1786 nucleotides) under Gallus gallus (chicken). Lineage: Eukaryota; Metazoa; Chordata; Aves; Galliformes; Phasianidae. The record is from RNAcentral.